CUGUAAUGAUGACAUCUUAGGACACCUUUGGAUUAAUAAUGAAAAGAACCAUGUUUUUCUGAGCAGC
Molecule: small nucleolar RNA, 67 nt
Organism: Myxocyprinus asiaticus (Chinese sucker)
Lineage: Eukaryota; Metazoa; Chordata; Actinopteri; Cypriniformes; Catostomidae
Product: small nucleolar RNA SNORD58
Exons: 1
Source: RefSeq, a predicted model, not a curated record